RNAcentral lists this long non-coding RNA (614 nucleotides) under Nicotiana tabacum (common tobacco). RNAcentral describes it as "long non-coding RNA (NTAB_LNC013607)". Lineage: Eukaryota; Viridiplantae; Streptophyta; Magnoliopsida; Solanales; Solanaceae. The record is from RNAcentral.
CUAAAGUAAGAAAAUUCAAAAAAAAAGAAGUCAGUGGUUGUUCUCGAAUUUUGUCCCCAGCCAGUCAGCAUUAGGGUUUUAAACCCUAAACUGAACUUUUUCCUUUCAGCCAGCAUUAGGGUUUUAAACCCUAAACUGAGCUUUUCCAUGUAAUCAGCAUUAGGGUUUUAAACCCUAAACUGAAUUUUCCUUUUAGUCAGCAUUAGGGUUUUAAACCCUAAACUGAACUUUUUCCUUUUAGCCAGCAUUAGGGUUUUAAACCCUAAACUGAAUUUUCCUUUUAGUUAGCAUUAGGGUUUUAAACCCUAAACUGAACUUUUUCCUUUCAGCCAGCAUUAGGGUUUUAAACCCUAAACUGAGUUUUUCCAUGCAAUCAGCAUUAGGGUUUUAAACCCUAAACUGAAUUUUUCCUUUAGUCAGCAUUAGGGUUUUAAACCCUAAACUGAACUUUUCCUUUAAUCAGCAUUAGGGUUUUAAACCCUAAACUGAAUUUUUCCUUCGUUCGGCGUUAGGGUUUUAAACCCUAAACUGAACCUUUCCCCAGCUAGUCGGUAUUAGGGCUCCAACCCUGAACUGAGCAUGCAUAUCCUCUUUCAUCAAUUUUAUGAACUUCC